CAAAUACACAAACUCAGAAAGGGGAAGAAGGCCGAAGGGGCGAAGGCGAACCGGCGAAACCGCGAAGGGCUAGGGCCAACCGGCCAAGCCGCCAAGGGCAGUAGCAGCCGGCAGGCGGCAGGGCGGUGGGACCAUGGGCGCCAGCGCCUGGUGCUUCUUCUUGAAUUGCAGGAAGCAUUGUCAGAAGUUAUAAAGGUGAGUUUCAAUGGUGGCAACUGUUUCCUGGGGAAUGGGAGGAAGAACCCAUCUUGGCAAAUCAAUUUUUGGAGGAUCCAGUGCUUUUGACUCCUGAAGCAGCAAAUGAGAAGCCUUAUGUUGCAAUAAUUAAGGUAAGUUUGUUCUUCUGCUUCUUAAGGGGGCAUGGAAUACGGUGAUAUGGUUGGUUUUCUUGCAUUGGCAUUCAAGUUCACAUGAACCAUGUCAAGAUCAUACAAGGAAGAGAUCUGUAAAGGCUAAAGAGUACUAAUAUUCAUAAUUAUUUGAUUUAAAGUGUUGUUUUCAUAAGCUUUCCACUCCCUACAGGAACUUCUACCUCUCUUAAGAGGAAGCUACUGAAAAUUUCACAUGUAAUUUUGUACAUGUCUAUAGUUUUUUUGACUUGCUUUUUGAGGCUAAUUGUAAAUUUGUUUAUAACUAUAGUCAUUUGAUCUAUUUUUUAUGCUAAUUGUAAAUUUGUUCA
This is a long non-coding RNA of Nymphaea colorata (pocket water lily), 679 nucleotides long. RefSeq lists it as uncharacterized. The record is from RefSeq and is a predicted model, not a curated record. Lineage: Eukaryota; Viridiplantae; Streptophyta; Magnoliopsida; Nymphaeales; Nymphaeaceae. The transcript has 3 exons.